This is a long non-coding RNA of Haliotis rufescens (red abalone), 657 nucleotides long. RefSeq lists it as uncharacterized. The transcript is spliced from 2 exons. Lineage: Eukaryota; Metazoa; Mollusca; Gastropoda; Lepetellida; Haliotidae. The record is from RefSeq and is a predicted model, not a curated record.
UCGACGUCCCCUUCUCAUUCCACUACCCUCUACCUCCUUGUACAGUUUAUGGUACUCUGACAGGGAACUCUUAUCCUCCUCAGGGGUGUUUUCCUUCCUUGGCCUUAACAGACGGUACGGUUCACUUGUCAGUGUUUGAACUUGCUGGACACCAGCCACCCCUACACUGCACACUUUCUUGUGGAGCUCAGUUGUCAACCUGACAGUUUUUGGCACUUUAAAGUUGCUUUGCUUUUCACUGGUGAAUUUUUUGCCUGAAUUCCAAGCUUUAUGUCCCAUUCUAAAAGAUGUUAUCGAAUUCCUUCGAUGUCUCCCCAUGUUUCAAGAGUAGGUUCAAGAUGUUGACACUAUGAAUUUUUCUUUGGAAUGAAAGCAUCAACAUUGGUUCUUGACCUCCCAUAGUUAAAAUACCAAAUAUGGACCUGUCAUUUAUAUAUUGGCCUAUGUAAACAAGGCAGGGGUACCAGUUCCAGCAAGCUCACUGAGUCCAGCUUCUUUUAUGACUUAAGCUUAUUAGUGUCACAACCAAAUUCCAUGUUAUGUACCAGACUUUGCUAUCCUCAGUUGUUAUCAGCAAAGGUCAGCAAACAACUCACCAUUAAUAAAUUAAAAAUAUGAAAGCCUAAUUUGUUUUGAAUUUCCAAGUAUUGUCUAUCA